RNAcentral lists this ribosomal RNA (775 nucleotides) under uncultured Neocallimastigales. RNAcentral's name for it is "partial large subunit ribosomal RNA". It matches the Rfam family "Eukaryotic large subunit ribosomal RNA", at positions 18 to 646 of the family's 3401-position model. The record is from RNAcentral. Lineage: Eukaryota; Fungi; Neocallimastigomycota; Neocallimastigomycetes; Neocallimastigales.
UCAGACGAUGCGUCAUGCAUAUCAAUAAGCGGAGGAAAAGAAACUAACAAGGAUUCCCCUAGUAACGGCGAGUGAAGCGGGAAGAGCUCAAAUUUGAAAUCUUAAAGGGUUUCCCUUUACGAAUUGUAGUUUAAAGAAGUGUUUUCUGUUGAGGUUUUGGUAAAAGUUCUUUGGAAUAGGACAUCAUAGAGGGUGAGAAUCCCGUAUUUGACCUUUACUUUCAACUUUGUGAUACACUUUCAAAGAGUCGGAUUGUUUGGGAAUGCAGUCCAAAAUGGGUGGUAAAUUUCAUCUAAAGCUAAAUAUUGGCGAGAGACCGAUAGCGAACAAGUACCGUGAGGGAAAGAUGAAAAGAACUUUGAAAAGAGAGUUAAACAGUACGUGAAAUUGUCAAAAGGGAAGCGUUUGACACCAGUGUCGUUUUUCCGAAAAUCAAUUAAAGAACUGUUUAUGCUAAGCUGUUUAGACUUUAUCAGCUAUCUGUUUAGUUUUGAGCAUUUCUUUAAUGCACAUUUUCAGUUAACAAGUCAACAUCAAUUUCUUUUGCUGUAAAAAAGCUUGAGGAAGGUGGCUUGAGAUUCGUCUUAAGUGUUUAUAGCCUCUUGCCUAUGCAGUCGGAGAGAUUGAGGUCUGCAGCGUAGAUCCUUCGGGGCUAAAUGCAUUUGUGCUAAGUUAUAGCAUUUCAUAGACAACUUGUUGACUAUGAUUUGUCUUGUAGCUUACUCGCUUAUGUUAUUUUACCUACGCUUAGGAUGUUGACACACGCGCGUGCUCG